This 607-nucleotide ribosomal RNA is filed under the name Escherichia coli. RNAcentral describes it as "bacterial SSU rRNA". It matches the Rfam family "Bacterial small subunit ribosomal RNA", at positions 1 to 597 of the family's 1533-position model. Lineage: Bacteria; Pseudomonadati; Pseudomonadota; Gammaproteobacteria; Enterobacterales; Enterobacteriaceae. The record is from RNAcentral.
AAAUUGAAGAGUUUGAUCAUGGCUCAGAUUGAACGCUGGCGGCAGGCCUAACACAUGCAAGUCGAACGGUAACAGGAAGAAGCUUGCUUCUUUGCUGACGAGUGGCGGACGGGUGAGUAAUGUCUGGGAAACUGCCUGAUGGAGGGGGAUAACUACUGGAAACGGUAGCUAAUACCGCAUAACGUCGCAAGACCAAAGAGGGGGACCUUCGGGCCUCUUGCCAUCGGAUGUGCCCAGAUGGGAUUAGCUAGUAGGUGGGGUAACGGCUCACCUAGGCGACGAUCCCUAGCUGGUCUGAGAGGAUGACCAGCCACACUGGAACUGAGACACGGUCCAGACUCCUACGGGAGGCAGCAGUGGGGAAUAUUGCACAAUGGGCGCAAGCCUGAUGCAGCCAUGCCGCGUGUAUGAAGAAGGCCUUCGGGUUGUAAAGUACUUUCAGCGGGGAGGAAGGGAGUAAAGUUAAUACCUUUGCUCAUUGACGUUACCCGCAGAAGAAGCACCGGCUAACUCCGUGCCAGCAGCCGCGGUAAUACGGAGGGUGCAAGCGUUAAUCGGAAUUACUGGGCGUAAAGCGCACGCAGGCGGUUUGUUAAGUCAGAUGUGA